This 253-nucleotide ribosomal RNA is filed under the name uncultured bacterium. Its description in RNAcentral is "partial 16S ribosomal RNA". It matches the Rfam family "Bacterial small subunit ribosomal RNA", at positions 524 to 776 of the family's 1533-position model. The record is from RNAcentral.
GACGAACCGUGCGAACGUUGUUCGGAAUCACUGGGCUUAAAGGGCGCGUAGGCGGGCUGGCAAGUCAGGGGUGAAAGCCCACGGCUCAACCGUGGAAGUGCCUCUGAUACUGCCGGCCUGGAGGGGGGUAGGGGGAGCCGGAACUCACGGUGGAGCGGUGAAAUGCGUUGAGAUCGUGAGGAACGCCCGCGGCGAAAGCGGGCUCCUGGGCCCCGCCUGACGCUGAGACGCGAAAGCCAGGGGAGCGAACGGG